This 199-nucleotide ribosomal RNA is filed under the name uncultured bacterium. Its description in RNAcentral is "partial 16S ribosomal RNA". It matches the Rfam family "Bacterial small subunit ribosomal RNA", at positions 335 to 526 of the family's 1533-position model. The record is from RNAcentral.
ACUCCUACGGGAGGCAGCGGUGGGGAAUUUUGGACAAUGGGCGCAAGCCUGAUCCAGCCAUUCCGCGUGAGUGAAGAAGGCCUUCGGGUUGUAAAGCUCUUUCGCAAGGGAAGAAAACUUAGCCUCUAACAUAGGCUGAGGUUGACGGUACCUUGAUAAGAAGCACCGGCUAACUACGUGCCAGCAGCCGCGGUAAUAC